This 274-nucleotide ribosomal RNA is filed under the name uncultured bacterium. RNAcentral's name for it is "partial 16S ribosomal RNA". It matches the Rfam family "Bacterial small subunit ribosomal RNA", at positions 523 to 796 of the family's 1533-position model. The record is from RNAcentral.
AUACGGAGGGUGCGAGCGUUAUCCGGAUUUAUUAGGUUUAAAGGGUGUGUGGGCGGGAGCCUAAGUCAGUGGUGAAAUCUCACAGCUUAACUGUGAAACUGCCAUUGAAACUGGGUUUCUUGAGUAUAGCUGAGGUAGGCGGAAUGUGUAAUGUAGCGGUGAAAUGCAUAGAUAUUACACAGAACACCGAUUGCGAAGGCAGCUUACUAAGCUAUUACUGACGCUGAUGCACGAAAGCGUGGGUAGCGAACAGGAUUAGAUACCCCAGUAGUCC